RNAcentral lists this ribosomal RNA (497 nucleotides) under uncultured bacterium. Its description in RNAcentral is "partial 16S ribosomal RNA". It matches the Rfam family "Bacterial small subunit ribosomal RNA", at positions 28 to 523 of the family's 1533-position model. The record is from RNAcentral.
GAUGAGCGCUGGCGGCGUGCUUAACACAUGCAAGUCGAACGAAGCAUUUAGAACGGAUUACUUCGGUUUGAAGUUCUUUAUGACUGAGUGGCGGACGGGUGAGUAACGCGUGGGUAACCUGCCUUGUACUGGGGGAUAGCAGCUGGAAACGGCUGGUAAUACCGCAUAAGCGCACAAUGUUGUAUGACAUGGUGUGAAAAACUCCGGUGGUAUAAGAUGGACCCGCGUCUGGUUAGCUAGUUGGUGAGAUAACAGCCCACCAAGGCGACGAUCAGUAGCCGACCUGAGAGGGUGACCGGCCACAUUGGGACUGAGACACGGCCCAGACUCCUACGGGAGGCAGCAGUGGGGAAUAUUGCACAAUGGAGGAAACUCUGAUGCAGCGACGCCGCGUGAGUGAAGAAGUAAUUCGUUAUGUAAAGCUCUAUCAGCAGGGAAGAUAGUGACGGUACCUGACUAAGAAGCUCCGGCUAAAUACGUGCCAGCCGCCGCCGUAA